This 240-nucleotide ribosomal RNA is filed under the name uncultured bacterium. RNAcentral describes it as "partial 16S ribosomal RNA". It matches the Rfam family "Bacterial small subunit ribosomal RNA", at positions 114 to 354 of the family's 1533-position model. The record is from RNAcentral.
CGCGUGAGGAACCUGCCUUUCAGAGGGGGACAACAGUUGGAAACGACUGCUAAUACCGCAUAAUACGCGGGUGUCGCAUGGCACCUGCGUCAAAGAUUUAUCGCUGAGAGAUGGCCUCGCGUCUGAUUAGCUAGUUGGUGAGGUAACGGCCCACCAAGGCGACGAUCAGUAGCCGGACUGAGAGGUUGGCCGGCCACAUUGGGACUGAGAUACGGCCCAGACUCCUACGGAAGGCAGCAG